Molecule: ribosomal RNA, 256 nt
Filed under: uncultured bacterium
Lineage: Bacteria
Description: partial 16S ribosomal RNA
Rfam family: Bacterial small subunit ribosomal RNA
Source: RNAcentral
AACGGGGGGACCAAGCGUAUUCGUCUUGAUUGGGCGUAAAGGGCAAGUAGACGGUUUAUUUUAAAAUACAAAUUAAAUUUUUGUUCUUUCGGACUUAAAACUUGUAUUUUGAUAAACUUUGAGUGCGAUAGAGGAUAGCAGUACUCUCAGAGGAGGGGUAAAAUUUCCACUGAUACUGAUGGGGACUCUCGGUGGCGAAGGCGGCUAUCUGGAUCGUUACUGACGUUGAGAGGCGAAAGCGUGGGGAGCAAACGGG